This 253-nucleotide ribosomal RNA is filed under the name uncultured bacterium. RNAcentral's name for it is "partial 16S ribosomal RNA". It matches the Rfam family "Bacterial small subunit ribosomal RNA", at positions 524 to 776 of the family's 1533-position model. The record is from RNAcentral.
AACGUAGGGGACAAGCGUUAUCCGGAUUUACUGGGCGUAAAGCGCCCGUAGGCGGCCUGACAAGUUGGACGUGAAAGCUCCUGGCUUAACUGGGAGAGGCCGUUCAAAACUGUCAAGCUAGAGUCUGGAAGAGGAGAGCGGAAUUCCCGGUGUAGUGGUGGAAUGCGUAGAGAUCGGGAGGAACACCAGUGGCGAAAGCGGCUCUCUGGGCCAUUACUGACGCUGAGGAGCGAAAGCCAGGGGAGCAAACGGG